Molecule: non-coding RNA, 263 nt
Organism: Clostridium sp. D5
Lineage: Bacteria; Bacillati; Bacillota; Clostridia; Eubacteriales; Clostridiaceae
Rfam family: Bacterial large signal recognition particle RNA
About the family: The signal recognition particle (SRP) is a universally conserved ribonucleoprotein involved in the co-translational targeting of proteins to membranes. Archaeal SRP consists of a 7S RNA and homologues of the eukaryotic SRP19 and SRP54 proteins.
Source: Rfam
UCGUGCAGCCGGGGUGUUAGCGGUACCUUGUACCUGCAAUCCGCUAUAGCAGGGGUGAUAUUACGCAGAGGGUGCUGAUUUGCAGAGCUGCCCUUGGAAAGUGGCGUUGAGAUCUGGGUCUUACGCGACGGGAAUCUGUGAACCGUGUCAGGUCGGGAACGAAGCAGCACUAAGCAGAACCUUCCGGGUGCCGUAAGGGUGCCUGGGUUGAGUUAACUGCCGAGGUAACGUUUGUGGAGAUGCAUUCGAAGCGUAAUGCACGU